RNAcentral lists this ribosomal RNA (428 nucleotides) under uncultured bacterium. Its description in RNAcentral is "bacterial SSU rRNA". It matches the Rfam family "Bacterial small subunit ribosomal RNA", at positions 355 to 775 of the family's 1533-position model. The record is from RNAcentral.
AGGGGAAUUUUGGACAAUGGGGGCAACCCUGAUCCAGCCAUGCCGCGUGAGUGAAGAAGGCCUUCGGGUUGUAAAGCUCUUUCGGCCGGGAAGAAAUCGUGCGGGCUAAUACCCUGUAUGGAUGACGGUACCGGAAUAAGAAGCACCGGCUAACUACGUGCCAGCAGCCGCGGUAAUACGUAGGGUGCGAGCGUUAAUCGGAAUUACUGGGCGUAAAGCGUGCGCAGGCGGUUUUGUAAGACAGGCGUGAAAUCCCCGGGCUCAACCUGGGAACUGCGCUUGUGACUGCAAGACUAGAGUACGGCAGAGGGGGGUGGAAUUCCACGUGUAGCAGUGAAAUGCGUAGAGAUGUGGAGGAGCACCAAUGGCGAAGGCAGCCCCCUGGGUCGAUACUGACGCUCAUGCACGAAAGCGUGGGGAGCAAACAG